GUCGACGACUCCUACGGGAGGCAGCAGUGGGGAAUAUUGCACAAUGGGCGCAAGCCUGAUGCAGCCAUGCCGCGUGUAUGAAGAAGGCCUUCGGGUUGUAAAGUACUUUCAGCAGUGAGGAAGGUGGGUAUGUUAAUAGCAUAUUCAUUUGACGUUAGCUGCAGAAGAAGCACCGGCUAACUCCGUGCCAGCAGCCGCGGUAAUACGGAGGGUGCGAGCGUUAAUCAGAAUUACUGGGCGUAAAGCGCAUGCAGGUGGUUUGUUAAGUCAGAUGUGAAAGCCCGGGGCUCAACCUCGGAAUUGCAUUUGAAACUGGCAAACUAGAGUACUGUAGAGGGGGUAGAAUUUCAGGUGUAGCGGUGAAAUGCGUAGAGAUCUGAAGGAAUACCGGUGGCGAAGGCGGCCCCCUGGACAGAUACUGACACUCAGAUGCGAAAGCGUGGGGAGCAAACAGGAUUAGAUACCCCGGUAG
Molecule: ribosomal RNA, 472 nt
Filed under: uncultured bacterium
Lineage: Bacteria
Description: bacterial SSU rRNA
Rfam family: Bacterial small subunit ribosomal RNA
Source: RNAcentral